UUGGGAAAUUUUUUUAACAUUUUGGAUUUUGGUUUUUUUUUUUCACAAGCACACGAUGAGUUAUAGAUAUGAAAAUGAAACAGUUGUUGUCGUUGUUAUCUUGGGGUUACAGAAAUGAGCUCCCGUUUCAGUAUGCUUUAUUACUUUGAAAGAAACGUGGUUUGUGAGCUCCGUAUCUGCGUGUAUCUGCUGUAAUCCACGCUACUGCCAUUUCGAUUGUGCAAAUUUCAGGUGAAAUUUGAUCUUGAGAACAAGUGACAUUAUGUAAUUCAAAUUUCGUCAAACGAAUUUUUGGAGUGAAUCGUAAACCAUUUGUGAAACGAACAGCCAGCGAACAACUUCGUGUGUCAUGUGGUCGAUAGUUGUGUGAGUCAAGCAGUGUAGUGAAGUUGACAUACACUAUUGGAAUUGCCGAUCACUUCUACAUUAUCAACAAGAUCGAAUUUGUGAAUGUUUGAUGGCCACUUCCAGAAAGUCUUAAAACCCACAUCUGGGUGUAGAUGAGACCUUCAUCCAGUACGUACAUCCAUUGGAACACCGGAAGAUGAAUCUUGUGUGCUGAAAUCAGCUUAAAGAAAAAUACAUUGUCUGUGACUUGGAUUGGGAUUAAGUCAUUUGAUGUACGUACAAGAUCUACCAUUAUAUUGAAGUAAGUCACAACAGGAAAGGCUUCCAUUUCAUUCACCAAAGAAAACAUUUAGGAAGAGCUGAUGAAGCAUGAAUAGCAGAUUGACAACUCAUUGUCGUGUACUUUCGAACAACAGCAUUACAGCCAAUGAAACAUUUGACAUCAAAGCCAUCAGAAUCAUCAAUUAGGCAACGUCUAAUUUACAUGAAAAGAAAAGGAGAAGGGGUAACAAAAAAAGUAUUUAAAGCCGUCUGACCACCGUUUUACACAUGCUGAAUGUCGAUGGUGCUUAUUUGAAAGACGUGGAUAGUUUGUUCCUGAUCCUGUUUACAGAUGUGAUGCAGUUCCCGAUUGUGUACGAGUUCGUGAUCCAGACUUCAUGAGUGGCUUAUGUGUGCUUACACAUGGUCUUGUGUGGAAUCCUUGGGUGUUCCGUAGUUGCUGAAUCAGGAAAUUUAUGUGUGGCAGUUUUGUUAGCUGCUUCCAUGCUACAUCUUUAGGUGAUUUAUUUCUAUGAUGCACUCUUUCUACGGCUCUGCUGUGAAACUGGACGGGCAUGGGUUAAUGGCGCUUUCCAUUUACCUGCUUCCAUUUUUAAGGUUCCAUUCAGGGCAUGGCUCAGGUUUUUUAAACGGGUGGUUGCGUGGACAUUUCAUGGCAUCGAGCAGCCUUCAUGAAUUUGUCCCAAUAACUUUGUAUAUCAAAGCUUCUCGAAUUUCAGCCUGAUAGAAAUAAUGUAACACAAUAGUAAUUCAGCUUUAUUUAUGCAACCAAUCAAUUGUGAUGCUUACAUGUUGUUGAACCUUAAACUCCAGAGCCUCCAAUCGUUUGUCUCUGUUUUUCAGUUGCAAUAUUUUAUGCAGCACUUCUAACAGCUGUUGUUGUUGCUGUACUUUGGCCUCCAGUUCAAUAACUUUGGAUGUCAAAGCUUCUCGAACUUCAGCCUGAUGGGAAUAGUAAUGUAACACAUUACUAAUUCAGUUUUAUUUAUGUGAAAUGGAAAGAACAAACUUUCUUACAUGAUUGCCAGUUAAUUGUUGUUGCUGUUUGUUCGAGGUAAUCCAUUGGUUGAAAGCAAUUUAAAAGCACACAACAGGAAAACGAACGUGGAACACAAGUAACCAGCUAUUGCAUCGCCUAGGACGUUUACUGAUUUCUCCUCGACGGCUGCAUCACCGCUUUAUGACACAACUUCAACGUGUCAAACAUUUGCUGGUAAACUGUUGAUUUCUAGAUAACUUUGGCGGGUUCAAAAUUUAUCAGCACUUGGAUGCUAGUCAACACACUUGUGUCAAUAUAUCAGUACAGGACUAAUCAUGUACGUAGGACUGGAUUGGUUAAUACAGGUCUAAUUACGAGCAAGAAUGGGUCUUCAGGCUGUUAUCAACGCGUACCACCACAUCCUAGUCCACAUCUCGGCUUUGAUUUUGCCAUGAUUUAUUGAGUGUCACUGGGAGUUGCAUUCGGAUUCUGCAGUC
Long non-coding RNA from Daphnia carinata, 2106 nucleotides. RefSeq lists it as uncharacterized. The transcript has 11 exons. NCBI's taxonomy places the organism in Eukaryota, Metazoa, Arthropoda, Branchiopoda, Diplostraca, Daphniidae. The record is from RefSeq and is a predicted model, not a curated record.